Molecule: small nuclear RNA, 100 nt
Filed under: Moschus moschiferus (Siberian musk deer)
Lineage: Eukaryota; Metazoa; Chordata; Mammalia; Artiodactyla; Moschidae
Source: RNAcentral
GCUAACUUUGUAAGCAUGCAUACUAAAACUGGAACAAUACCGAGAUCAGCAUUUCCUGAACAAGGGUGAUAUACAAAUUUAUGAAGCAUUCCAUAUUUUU